UACAGAGGAUGCAAGCGUUGUCCGGAAUGAUUGGGCGUAAAGCGUCUGUAGGUGGCUUUUUAAGUCCGCCGUCAAAUCCCAGGGCUCAACUCUGGACAGGCGGUGGAAACUACCAAGCUGGAGUACGGUAGGGGCAGAGGGAAUUUCCGGUGGAGCGGUGAAAUGCGUAGAGAUCGGAAAGAACACCCGUGGCGAAGGCGGCUCUCUGGAACGCAACUGACGCUGAGACGCGAAAGCGUGGGGAGCAAACAGG
Molecule: ribosomal RNA, 253 nt
Filed under: uncultured bacterium
Lineage: Bacteria
Description: partial 16S ribosomal RNA
Rfam family: Bacterial small subunit ribosomal RNA
Source: RNAcentral